GCUACGGGUGGCAGCAGUGGGGAAUAUUGCACACUGGGGGAAACCCUGAUGCAGCGACGCCGCGUGAGUGAAGAAGUAUUUCGGUAUGUAAAGCUCUAUCAGCAGGGAAGAAAAUGACGGUACCUGAUUAAGAAGCCCCGGCUAACUACGUGCCAGCAGCCGCGGUAAUACGUAGGGGGCAAGCGUUAUCCGGAUGUACUGGGGUUAAAGGGAGCGUAGACGGCAGCACAAAGCUGGAGUGAAAUGCCGGGGCUUAACCCCUGAACUGCUUUGGAAACUGUGCAGCUAGCGUGCAGGAGGGGUAAGUGGAAUUCCUAGUGUAGCGUUGAAAUGCGUAGAUAUUAGGAGGAACACCAGUGGCGAAGGCGGCUUACUGGACUGUAACUGACGUUGAGGCUCGAAAGCGUGGGGAGCAAACAGGAUUAGAUACCCGUGUAGUC
RNAcentral lists this ribosomal RNA (440 nucleotides) under uncultured bacterium. RNAcentral's name for it is "partial 16S ribosomal RNA". It matches the Rfam family "Bacterial small subunit ribosomal RNA", at positions 338 to 795 of the family's 1533-position model. The record is from RNAcentral.